UGUUAAAAAUUUAAUCCAUUUUUACUGUUAAAAACUUAUGUAGUUGACAAUUAUACACGACGUGUCAUAUAUAGCUCAUGCUGACAUAUAAAAAUUAUUUUUUAACAAUAGAAAUAGGUAAAAUUUUUAAUA
This is a non-coding RNA of Gossypium hirsutum (cotton), 132 nucleotides long. The record is from Rfam. NCBI's taxonomy places the organism in Eukaryota, Viridiplantae, Streptophyta, Magnoliopsida, Malvales, Malvaceae.